This 3292-nucleotide unclassified non-coding RNA is filed under the name Leishmania donovani. RNAcentral's name for it is "gene:LdHU3.32.0780(CDS-product:hypothetical_prote in_conserved)". The record is from RNAcentral. Lineage: Eukaryota; Euglenozoa; Kinetoplastea; Trypanosomatida; Trypanosomatidae.
ACCGAUAGCUACUUUUUCUUCACUGCGCUGCUCUCUUUCCUGCCAUACACAUACACACCGUGCGCAGACGAGAUGCUGCCUCGACCACAGACGUACCAGGCAAAGCCGUACGUCCCCGUCACCUCCGCCGCCAUUGACCCGUAUGAAGAGGGGCAGAGCUUUCUCGUCGAUAAUGAUCGCCUUGACAGCUGGUUCCGGUACGUGGAGGCUGAACUGCAGCGCUACCGCAGUCCCUUCGUCGCCGCAGAGGCACUCUUGACGGAGCUGCGGCUGCGCAGCCAUGAGCUCUAUCAGCCGGAGCGCCUCUACGUUUCGACGGCGCUGCGGAUACUGCAGGCGUGCGUGCCGCACCUCUCCAAGGAAACGGCGCAGGUGGCGCAGACCGCGGUGCACGAGCUUCUCCCGUGCCUUAUGUACACGCGCUGCACACCCCUGACGACAUCGUCAGAGCCGUCCUCGUCGAGGGGUCUCGAAAAAGUGACUCAACUGACCUACGCCGGCGCCUUCCGCCUUUUGCUGAAUCGGAUGCAGCAGUGCCAGACGCAGCUUCGGCGGCUCGAGCGACACGCUCGCGUGGAGGCAAAGAUGAUGGACCUUCUUGUGCAUGGGCUGGACCACAUGUGGCUGAAGAUGUGCUUCUACUCGUGGCGAACGUUUUGCAGACAACUGGAGAUGCGCAAGGCGCGUCUUCGACGACGACUGCUGCGGGUCACAGCCAACGAGGCGGUGCCCGCCUUCCUGCGCACGUGGCGGCAGCACGCCCACACGAUCGCAUUGGACGCCAAGACCUCCCGCAACAGCUUUCUUCAGAAGCAGGUGGAGGCACUGUACCCUCUCGAGCAGGAGGCGAAGAGCCGCUACGACCACCUGUGCGAGGAAAUCAAGGAGAAGAAUCGGCUGGCAGCUGACAGCCUAAGGCGACUGGAGGAGACGAAGUGCCGUCUCAAAGUGCUCGAGGACCUCAUCGCCGAAACGCAAGGCUCCCUCGCCGACCACUGGACGACUUGGAAGGAGUGCACACGGCUGAUGUUCGACGACAUCGGCGAACUGCCGGGCAAGACGAACCAGACACUUCGCACCGAGUACGUCAUGAAUAUCACCGACACGGCGUCGGCACUGUCGAGACGGGCUCGCGGGCGAGCUGGCCGGAUGGAACUGCGGCGCGUCGCACAGUUUCUCCUGUUCGAGGGGGAGCUCGGUGCUGACGCCGACACACAGACGGUGGGCGGGAUGGAGGGCAGUUUGAGCGCGAAGUCAGGCAUCGGCUCCUCUUCCUCCAUCUCCUGGCCUGUGCCCCACGACAGCGGCGGAAGAGCCCUCUCUGUGACCUCGAAACCGCUGGCCACCCACACAGUCCCCGCAAAGCCAAAGACGAUGGCCUCCCUUCAGGUGCAGCCGAGCGACCCGGAGCGGCAGUCAACCGUCUCUGCGACGAGUCUGGCCGCCAACGUGAACGACGUGUACUGGACUGUGGCGACCGUUGUGCAGCCAGUUCUGACGCCGCUUCACUUGAUAGACGUGCUGCAUCACAACGAGGCGCACUUGAACAUAACGCUCAGCUUUCUUUCCACCGUGUACAGCGGUGGCCACUGCUCUCUUUUUGCACCCGCGGCGCGAGCGGCGCAGAGGACCGAGGAGGCGCUGCUGCCUCUUCCCUCGAGUCAGGGCUUUGGCAAAGUGUCGCCGACAGCGGCGCCGAAGGACGGCAGCGACGACGGUGGCACCGCAGCUGCUGCGGAGGAUGUCAAGUGGGGCGCACUCAUGAUGCAGGAUGUGACGCGCGGCAUGGCGAAAGUGCAGGAUUGCGUUGAAGCGAACGAAGGCUACUUGCUGUCUGUGCGCCAGGGCAUGAUGAUGAGCGAGUUGGAGGUGUCCAGGGUACCUCGAAGACUUGUACAGGCGCUGGGCUGCCACCGGCGUACCCCUAUCGCAACAGAAGCUGGAGUCCGUCUGGCAGCCUAUCGUGACGCCAGCGAGGCUGCCCAUCCUUCAGGCGCUCUAUCCUGAGCAUGGAAUUACCUGCUUCACCGAGCUGGUCCACUACGUGGCCCGUGUGGCGGAGUUCAGCGGCUGCUCCUUGCAGGCGCUGGCAGAGCGGCUGGAUGCCACGUACCCGUACGACACGCUAGACGAACUGCGCAUUGUCAGGCGCAGUGACGAGGCCACGGAGCUGUUCCGCGCGCACGCGGCACACCUUGCCACGCUGCUGGUGUAUUUAAAGGACAAGGCGAACUCAUCGCAGUAUCACUGUGAUCACCUAUCUGUGCUUCUCGAACAGGAGUUCGGGCUGACGUCGGCGGAGGCAGCGGACAUCUCGCGCUACGCACGACAUGAGGGCGGCGGUGUGGUGAACCGCGACGACAUUGAGUGGCUUCUGCUGUUUUCCGCCCCGUACGUGGACCCCUCCCCCUUUACUUCUCUUUUGGAGAAGGUCGCGCGGCUGCUCGAGGACUGCACCCCGUUCUUUCAGCAACUCGCCAGGGCGGCGUCGGCGGCUACGUAAGCAUCCGAUGGGGCCGCCAGCGACGCUGCGGCGGCCUCGCGUAGAAGUUUACAAACUGCAAGGCAGGCUUGCGCCAUGCCGUGACCGCACAAUCCGUCGGCUACUCUUACAUGUAUGGUUACUUUCUUCACGCACUCAUGUAUACUAAGAUUUUUCGGAUUUUGGAUUGCCUAUUCCCGAUGCACGUUUACAUGCAUCCGCAGAUAAGACUACCACUAACAUAUGCGGGCUGCUCUGCACGCUCCCGAAAGCUGCAUUUCUCCCUACAUCCUGGAGAUGUGAGAGGGAGGAUGGUGCGGCGUGCGUGUGUGCGUGUUUGUUGUCUCGCGUGUGUUCCUCUUCCGAGUUACUUUCCGUUUUAAUGCCUGACCUAUCGCUUGCAGCACUCGACCUUUUUUUUUUCGUUGCUGUUGCCGCUCUCUCGUGCUCUUGAUCAUGCUCUGCCUGUCUUUGUCGAGCUGGUUGGUGCCCUUUUCCUCACUUCUACACCGAUGAAGCUGCAACGAACCAGCUGUGCGAUACAGCGAAGGGAAGGAGACGACACUUCUCAAGAUGUGUCUGGGCUCUCUUGACUACGCGGCUUGUGGUGCUUCGUACUCUGCCGCAUACUCACCGCUCCUCAGUCUUCUGUCGCUGCAUGUUUCUCGUUCUUCCGAAUAGAGGCAGAGAUAGGCAGAACCGCCCGGGCACUGUCAACUCGGUGUCUUUCUGUGCUGGCGUGUGCUUGUGUGUCUGACGCUUCAACCCUCUUCCGCUCCGUAGCGGACUCUCACACGUUUCUCCCGCAAG